This 382-nucleotide ribosomal RNA is filed under the name uncultured bacterium. RNAcentral describes it as "bacterial SSU rRNA". It matches the Rfam family "Bacterial small subunit ribosomal RNA", at positions 521 to 896 of the family's 1533-position model. The record is from RNAcentral.
UAAUACAGAGGAGCCAAGCGUUGUCCGGAUUGACUGGGCGUAAAGCGCACGCAGGCGGGUGCGCGCGUGGGGUGUGAAACCGGGUGGCUUAACUGCCCGCCGCCAUCCCAUACGGCGCGCCUGGAGCCAUCCAGAGGUCGGUGGAAUUGCCGGUGUAGUGGUGAAAUGCGUAGAGAUCGGCAGGAACACCCAGGGGGAAACCAGCCGACUGGGGAUGUGCUGACGCUGAGGUGCGAGAGCGUGGGGAGCGAACCGGAUUAGAUACCCGGGUAGUCCACGCCGUAAACGAUGAUCACUCGGCCUUUGGGAGCGGUAUUCCCGUUCCUGGGGGCCUCAGCUAACGCGGUAAGUGAUCCGCCUGGGAACUACGAGCGCAAGCUUA